UACGAAGGGGGCUAGCGUUGUUCGGAUUUACUGGGCGUAAAGCGCACGUAGGCGGAUCGUUAAGUCGGGGGUGAAAUCCUGGGGCUCAACCCCAGAACUGCCUUCGAUACUGGCGAUCUCGAGUCCGGAAGAGGUGAGUGGAACUCCUAGUGUAGAGGUGGAAUUCGUAGAUAUUCGCAAGAACACCAGUGGCGAAGGCGGCUCACUGGCCCGGUACUGACGCUGAGGCACGAAAGCGUGGGGAGCAAACAGG
RNAcentral lists this ribosomal RNA (253 nucleotides) under uncultured bacterium. RNAcentral's name for it is "partial 16S ribosomal RNA". It matches the Rfam family "Bacterial small subunit ribosomal RNA", at positions 524 to 776 of the family's 1533-position model. The record is from RNAcentral.